Molecule: ribosomal RNA, 382 nt
Filed under: uncultured eukaryote
Lineage: Eukaryota
Description: partial 18S ribosomal RNA
Rfam family: Eukaryotic small subunit ribosomal RNA
Source: RNAcentral
UGUAAGCGUAUACCAAAGUUGUUGCAGUUAAAACGCUCGUAGUCGGAAUUUGGCAGUUCCGGAUGUGUGCACGUCGUGUGCGCACUUCGCGGGGAUUGCUUUUGUGGUCUUGCGUAGGAUGAGGCACUUUUAUUAGUGAACGUCCUCACGCAACCACUUUUUACUGUGAGAAAAUCAGAGUGCUCAAAGCAGGCAUUUGCCGUGAAUGUAUUCGCAUGGAAUAAUAGAAUAGGACUUGGUUCUAUUUUGUUGGUUUGUUGGGACUGAGUAAUGAUUAAGAGGGACAGUUGGGGGCAUUUGUAUUUCGGUGCUAGAGGUGAAAUUCUUAGAUUACCGAAAGACAAACUGCUGCGAAAGCGUCUGCCAAGGAUGUUUUCAUUGA